RNAcentral lists this small nucleolar RNA (116 nucleotides) under Meriones unguiculatus (Mongolian gerbil). RNAcentral's name for it is "Small nucleolar RNA SNORA17 (ENSMUGG00000011140.1)". It matches the Rfam family "Small nucleolar RNA SNORA17". Rfam says of the family: snoRNA ACA 17 belongs to the H/ACA family of snoRNAs and is predicted to guide pseudouridylation of the 28S rRNA at positions U4659 and U4598. It shares the same host gene together with ACA43. Lineage: Eukaryota; Metazoa; Chordata; Mammalia; Rodentia; Muridae. The record is from RNAcentral.
CAUGCCCCUACAGGCAGUACAGGUGUGGCUUGGCAUCAGUAGAGGCAGAGAGAGGGGCUGUGUCUCUGCUCAGGGUUCUGACCUGUGAACACCUGAAUGAUUAGUAGCCUAACAUU